This 4908-nucleotide long non-coding RNA is filed under the name Homo sapiens (human). RNAcentral describes it as "HSALNT0152837". Lineage: Eukaryota; Metazoa; Chordata; Mammalia; Primates; Hominidae. The record is from RNAcentral.
CCUCCCACCUCAGCCUCUUGAGCCCAGCCUAAAAAAAUAUUUCUAUAAUUAAAAAGACAGGCCAGGCACGGUGGCUCACGCCUGUAAUCCCAGCACUUUAGGAGGCCGAGGCAGGCAGACCACUUGAGGCCAGGAGUUCGGUACCAGCCUGGGCAACAUGGCAAAACCCUGUCUCUACAAAAAAUACAAAAACUACAAAAACUAGCUGGGCAUGGUGGCGUGCGCCUGUAGCCCCACUACUCAAGAGGCUGAGGUGAAAAGAUAGUUUGAGCCCAGGGGCAGAAGUUGUAGUGAGCUAUGACUGAGCCACUGCACGCCAGCCUGGGUAACAGAGAGAGACUCUGUCUCCAAAAAAAAGAAAGAAAGAAAAAAUAAUUAGCUGGGCAUGGUGGCAAACAGUUACUCAGGAGGCUGAGGCAGGAGGAUCACUUGAGCCUGGGAGGUCAAGGCUGCAGUGAGCCGUGAUUGCACCACUACACUCCAGCCUGGGCAAUAGAGCAAGACUGCCUCAAAAAACAAAACAAAACAACAAAAACAGAAGCCAUUCAUACAUUGAAUUUUAGGGACCCCCUAGAUCCCCCUGAAGUCUGCUUAUCUAGCCAGGUAAGCCAGAACAGAGUGGUAGAAAAAGGCUAUCAAUGAAGAGAAACACAAUAAAAAUAUUACCUAGGUUUAUAGGUCAUUGAAGAGUUCAGAAGACACUUUCCCAAGCAUUAUCCUGGCAACAACUCUGUAAGGUCACAGAGCUAGAGGCAGGGUGCAGUGACUUGCCUGAGGUCACGAGCUAGCCCAUGGCAGGGCAGAAAGCGCUUGAAGUUUCUGAGGCCAAGCCCAGUGCUCUUCGUAUUUCCCAUCUUGCUUCCCAGGAGGUUCCAUGCAGAUCCUGUGGGAAUGGGCGUUUCUGCCCUUAUUCCCCUGUGCAUUCUUCACGAGUGGUUGGAUUUCCAUGGACUUCAUUCUGCCAAAGACUCAUGUGCUGAAUCAUAUGGAACUGCUGACCUUCCAAUAAACCAGCAUGAUUUGCUAAGGCGUAGAGCCAGGCUGAGAAGGAAGAGGACUCAGGCCAGACUGGUGGGUUGGAAUCCUAGCUGUGCAGCCGAGCAGCUUGAGCACGUUACUCAACCUCCACCCAAUGUACGAAAAGCACAUAGUCCAGUUCCAAGGACAUGAUAAAAGUUCAGUAAGUGAUGCAGGCUUUCAUUUUUAUUGAGUCUUCUCUUGCUUUCUCUGGGACUGUAGCAUUUUAAAAACCCUACCAACAAGAGGUUGAUUCACGUCAACUUCAUUUUCUUCUCUCCAAGAAAAAAAGUCACAAACACAGAAACAAAGUCAAUGCCUUGUCCGUGUGUGCUCAUGGGCUUAAUGAGUCACCUGGUUGUGCACAGAUCCACAUGCUGGAAUAAUCAAUCCCACCCCUGAAGCCAAGCUUACAAUUUAAGAAAAAAUUAAUAAAUGCCACUCAUCUUUCUAAUCUCUUCUCACAUGUGACUGACAAUCAUCAGUCAGCAUUGCUUGUACAAGUUACUGUUCUUUAAAGCUGGGGCAGGUGGGCCAAACGCCAAAAUUACCUAAACAGCUUGAACUCCUGGUGUUUUCCUCCAAGCCAGUGAAAUGGGAAUAAAAUCUGCUAUCAAGGGCUCCCCCUACAGGCACCAAAAAGCAAAGGCUAAAAAUUAAGGUGGGUGCCAUUUACGCCUAGUAGAGAAUUGUUUCUUCUCUUGAAAAAGUUUCUAAGGCAGUCCUGAAACCACAACUUUGCUUGUUGACACAAUCCCUUUUCCAAAACUCUGGCCAAAGAGUCUUAAAAAUCUAAAGGACCAAGAAUCAAGCAACCUCUUCCUCUUGAUGUACUCACCUCCCACUUAAUAAAGGACCAAAUGUGAUUUUGAUACAAAUAGGACACAAAACGACCCUAGAGCUGUAACACUAUUUUUGACAGUCAUAAUUAUGGCACUUUUGAGUUUUCUUGUAGCUCAUUUCCAUCUCAUUUUUAGGAUUAGUGUGUAUUUGUGUGUGUGUGUACAUGCGUGUGUGUACAUGCACGCACCAAAACAACUUCAAUUCCGGACAUAAAAUCAAUGACAGUUUUAAAACCACUUGAUGGAAGGUUUGAGGGAACUUUUAUCAUUUAUUUAUUUUGUGCUACAAAUCAGGUAUAUUUAAUUCUCUGGGUUCGUGGAAUGAGCUUGGAUGGUUGCCUGCUCUCAAAGGCUAAAAAAAAAAAAAGCUUGGAUGGAUAAAUAAAGUUUCCAAGACAUAAAGAAACAGACAGACAGACAGCUUGUUUCAAAUUUGUGCUUCUAUUUCUCUCUGAGGGAUGGAAGUUCACCAACCAGAGAUGCACAUUUCCUCACAAAGGACACUUGAAGUUGUGCCCACAGAGGCAAAUGCUCAUAUGGAGACUCAAGAAAGCCUGGGGUUCAGAAGAGGCUUGAGAUCAUGUUAUGAGAAACAGCUGAAGAAAACGGGGGUGCUCAGCCUAGGGAAGACCAAGGGGUGGUAUGACAGGCUAACUUGGGAGGGCAACCAGCCUGGGUAUAUACCUCAUUUAGGCAGGGCCUGGAAAGGCCAGAUAGUGGGAACAUUGAAGAGACUCAGGAACUGGCAGAAAACUGAGCCAGAUUAUAUUUAACAUCCUUUUUAUUAUUUUUGUGGGUUUUUUUUGAGACAGGGUCUCACUCUGUCGCCCAGGCUGGAGUGCAGUGGCACGAUCUCGGCUCACUGCAACCUCUGCCUCCCAGGUUCAAGCGAUUCUCCUGCCUUAGCCUCCCGAGUAGCUGGGAUUACAGGCAUGCGCCAUUACCACCCAGCUAAUUUUUGUAUUUUAAGUAGAGGUAGGGUUUCACCAUGUUGGCCAGGCUGAUCACGAACUCCUGACGUCAAAUGAUCCACCCGCCUCCGCCUCCCAGAGUGCUGGGAUUACAGGCAUGAGCCACUGCGCCCAGCCUAAAAUCCUUCUUAGCUCUAAAAUCCUGAGACUGUAUAAUAAAACCCCAAACAAUUUAAUAGUCCUCUUGUUAUAAGGCCGUUGGUUACCAUCCCCCAGAGUCAUUGUUAACAUAUUAAACAAAACAUUUUGUGCUUCAAGCCCUGAUGAAGCUUCAAAAUAACUUUUCAAAAGAAAAAACAACAAAAUCAAACUAAAGUGUAGGCUCUACCAGUGUCAACUUCCUACCUUUAACGUUUACUAUAGUUAUGUAAGAUGGAACCAACCACUGGAAGAAGUUAAAUGAAAAGCUGGGUGAAGGGUACACAGGACCUCUACUAUUUCUGCAAUUUCCUGUGAACCUCUGAUUAUUUCAAAAUAAAAAGCUUUAAAAAAUCAAAUUAGCCCAGGCACAGUGGCUCAUGCCUGUAAUCCCAGCACUUUGGGAGGCUGAGGAGGGAGGGUUGCUUGGUACCAGGAGUUCAAGACCAGCCUGGGCAAUGAGGCGAGACCCUUGUCUCUACAAAAAAAUUUAAAAAUAGUGGGGCAUGGUGGCAUGAGCCUGUAGACCCAGCUACUCAGGAAGGUGAGGUGGGAGGAUCCCUUGAGCCUGGGAGGUUAAGGCUGCAGUGAGCUAUGAUCAGGCUACUGCACUCCAGCCUGGGCAAAAGCAUGAGACUCAUCUCUAAAAAAAAAAUCAAAAACCAAAAAUCAAAUUAAAGAUACCUCCCCAAGAAGUUCUAAGUAACAUCAAAGGCAAUUACAAAUCAGUUUGGUUUAGGAGUACAGUGUCAUCAGCCACAAAUGACUCUGCACAAGUAUCCACAGGCAGCAGAACUCAUUUCAAAACUAUUCAAGACUAUUUCAAUCAGCUCAUUUCGAUCAGCUAUUAAGAUUUACAAUCAUGAUUAGGAAAGCAUGUAUCAUGUUGACAGGUGUCUAAUUUGGUUAUGUUGAUCAUAAAUCCUCAGUUAUCUGGGAGCACAUCAUUAAAAUCACCUAUAGGCAAUACAUUCUUACAACUGUUUCCUAUGUGGUACUACAGAGGAUCCAUGUAUAAUUACUGUAUUUCUAAAACUAUAAUACAAUAAUUUAUUUAUGUCUUACUUCUUCCAUUAACCAUGAUUGCAACAAGAACUACAUCUUGUCAUCUUAUUUUAUCACCAAAACCUAACCCAUAGGUUCUCAAUAAAUAGUUGCAAAGUGAGUAUAUUAAAAAACAGUAAUUAUAGGCCAGGCACGGUGGCUCACACCCGUAAUCCCAGCACUUUGGGAGGCUGAGGUGGGUGGAUCACGAGGUCAGGAAUUCGAGACCAGCCUGACCAACAUGGUCUCUACUAAAAAUACAAAAAUUAGCCAGGCAUGGUGGCGCACGCCUGUAAUCCCAGCUACUCAGGAGGCUGAGGCAGGAGAAUUGCUCGAACCUGGGAGGCAGAGAUUGCAGUGAGCCGAGAUCACGCCACUGCACUCCAGCCUGGGCGAAAGAGCAAGACUCCAUCUCAAAACAAAAACAAAAACAAAAAAACAGUAACAAUUUUCUUGAACUUCUGAGGGUGAUUUCCUUUUCUGAUACAAAGACAUCCAAAGAAAUCUCAGAGAGUCUCUAUUUUAGAAUCAGUAUUAAAUAUAUAUACAUAUAUAUAUGUGUGUGUGACUAUGUCACAAAGUCUCUGAAACACAUAAGUUUAAUCUCAAAAACUAUCUCUACUUGUUUUUUAUUUGUUAGUUUCCUGAUAUAGGUUUGAUUUGGAAUCAAAUAGAAAGGUCAGGCUUUUCCAGACAGACAGGAAAACCAAUAUGAAUUACUGAAUAGAUCCCCUCAACUAGAAAGUCUCUGCUGGAAUGAACUUUGUCUAAUUUUAUCAAGUGCACCAAGAACAGCUUCUUUCAGAAAUUAUCGAGACAGCAUCACCUUUUGAUUCUUUAAUAUCAACAGAUCAAAAAGCAUUUGGUGAUUUCUCUGUAUUUUAUAUCUCUUUGUU